AUUGAACGCUGGCGGCAUGCCUUACACAUGCAAGUCGAACGGUAACGCGGGGCAACCUGGCGACGAGUGGCGAACGGGUGAGUAAUACAUCGGAACGUGCCCAGUAGUGGGGGAUAGCCCGGCGAAAGCCGGAUUAAUACCGCAUACGACCUACGGGUGAAAGCAGGGGAUCGCAAGACCUUGCGCUAUUGGAGCGGCCGAUGUCAGAUUAGGUUGUUGGUGGGGGUAAAAGCCUACCAAGCCGACGAUCUGUAGCUGGUCUGAGAGGACGACCAGCCACACUGGGACUGAGACACGGCCCAGACUCCUACGGGAGGCAGCAGUGGGGAAUUUUGGACAAUGGGCGCAAGCCUGAUCCAGCCAUGCCGCGUGAGUGAAGAAGGCCU
Molecule: ribosomal RNA, 386 nt
Filed under: uncultured bacterium
Lineage: Bacteria
Description: bacterial SSU rRNA
Rfam family: Bacterial small subunit ribosomal RNA
Source: RNAcentral